UACGGAGGGCGCAAGCGUUAUCCGGAAUUAUUGGGCGUAAAGAGCUCGUAGGCGGUUUGUCUCGUCUGCUGUGAAAGACCGGGGCUCAACUCCGGUUCUGCAGUGGGUACGGGCAGACUAGAGUGCAGUAGGGGAGACUGGAAUUCCUGGUGUAGCGGUGGAAUGCGCAGAUAUCAGGAGGAACACCGAUGGCGAAGGCAGGUCUCUGGGCAACUACUGACGCUGAGAAGCGAAAGCAUGGGGAGCGAACAGG
Molecule: ribosomal RNA, 253 nt
Filed under: uncultured bacterium
Lineage: Bacteria
Description: partial 16S ribosomal RNA
Rfam family: Bacterial small subunit ribosomal RNA
Source: RNAcentral